UACGGGGGGAGCAAGCGUUGUUCGGAUUUACUGGGCGUAAAGGGCGCGUAGGCGGCCACCGCAAGUCAAUUGUGAGAUCUCCGGGCUUAACUCGGAAAGGUCAACUGAUACUGCGGGGCUAGAGUGCGGAAGGGGCAACUGGAAUUCUCGGUGUAGCGGUGAAAUGCGUAGAUAUCGUGAGGAACACCAGAGGCGAAGGCGGCUACCUGGACAAUUGCUGACGCUCAGGCACGAAAGCGUGGGGAGCAAAAGGG
RNAcentral lists this ribosomal RNA (254 nucleotides) under uncultured bacterium. RNAcentral describes it as "partial 16S ribosomal RNA". It matches the Rfam family "Bacterial small subunit ribosomal RNA", at positions 524 to 776 of the family's 1533-position model. The record is from RNAcentral.